Molecule: ribosomal RNA, 399 nt
Filed under: uncultured bacterium
Lineage: Bacteria
Description: bacterial SSU rRNA
Rfam family: Bacterial small subunit ribosomal RNA
Source: RNAcentral
AAGGGAUUUUCCCCAAUGGGCGCAAGCCUGAGGGAGCAACGCCGCGUGGAGGAUGACGGCUUUCGGGUUGUAAACUCCUUUUGGCAGGGACGAUGAUGACGGUACCUGCCGAAUAAGCCCCGGCUAACUCUGUGCCAGCAGCCGCGGUAAUACCGAGGGGGCAAGCGUUGUCCGGACUUACUGGGCGUAAAGGGUGCGCAGGCGGCCUGAUGCGUCGUCGCUGAAAGCUCUCGGCUCAACUGAGAGAGGCGUGGCGAUACGAUCAGACUCGAGUCUCUGAGAGGGUGGCGGAACUCCUGGUGUAGUGGUGAAAUGCGUAGAGAUCAGGAAGAACACCCGUGGCGCAAGCGGCCACCUGGCAGAGCACUGACGCUGAGGCACGAAAGCGUGGGUAGCGAA